ACUCAAAGGAAUUGACGGGGGUCCGCACAAGCGGUGGAACAUGUGGUUUAAUUCGACACUACGCGAGGAACCUUACCUAGGCUUGACAUACAUGUGACCGCCAUAGAAAUAUGGUUUUUUGGGCGUAAGCUUGAACAGAUGUACAGGUGCUGCAUGGCUGUCGUCAGCUCGUGUCGUGAGAUGUUGGGUUAAGUCCUUUAACGAGCGCAACUCCUACUGUCAGUUGCAACCCCGUAAGGGGGCACUCUGAUGGGACUGCCUGGGAAACCAGGAGGAAGGUGGGAAUGACGUCAAGUCCUCAUGGCCCUUAUGCCUAGGGCAACACACGUGUUACAAUGGUUGGUACAAAGGGCUGCAAUACCGUAAGGUGGAGCCAAUCCCACAAAGCCAAUCUAAGUUCGGAUUGAGGUCUGCAACUCGACCUCAUGAAGUUGAAAUCGCUAGUAAUCGCGUAUCAGAACGACGCGGUGAAUACGUUCUCGGACCUUGUACACACCGCCCGU
RNAcentral lists this ribosomal RNA (503 nucleotides) under uncultured bacterium. RNAcentral describes it as "partial 16S ribosomal RNA". It matches the Rfam family "Bacterial small subunit ribosomal RNA", at positions 899 to 1397 of the family's 1533-position model. The record is from RNAcentral.